AACGAACGCUGGCGGCAUGCCUAACACAUGCAAGUCGAACGAUACCUUCGGGUCUAGUGGCGCACGGGUGCGUAACGCGUGGGAACCUGCCCUUAGGUUCGGAAUAACUCCCCGAAAGGGGUGCUAAUACCGGAUAAUGUCUUCGGACCAAAGAUUUAUCGCCUUUGGAUGUGCCCGCGUUGGAUUAGCUAGUUGGUAGGGUAAAAGCCUACCAAGGCGAAGAUCCAUAGCUGGUCUGAGAGGAUGAUCAGCCACACUGGGACUGAGACACGGCCCAGACUCCUACGGGAGGAAGCAGUGGGGAAUAUGGGACAAUGGGCGAAAGAAUGAUGCAGCAAUGCCGCGUGAGUGAGGAAGGCCUUAGGGUUGUAAAGCUGUUUUACCAGGGAUGAUAAUGACAGUACCGGGAGAAUAAGCGACGGCUAACUCCGUG
Molecule: ribosomal RNA, 433 nt
Filed under: uncultured bacterium
Lineage: Bacteria
Description: partial 16S ribosomal RNA
Rfam family: Bacterial small subunit ribosomal RNA
Source: RNAcentral